This 248-nucleotide unclassified non-coding RNA is filed under the name uncultured fungus. Its description in RNAcentral is "sequence contains ITS2". Lineage: Eukaryota; Fungi. The record is from RNAcentral.
AACGCACAUUGCGCCCACUAGUAUUCUGGUGGGCAUGCCUGUUCGAGCGUCAUUUCAACCCUCAAGCCUGGCUUGGUGUUGGGGCAUUGCGGCCUGCUGCAAGCCCUAAAAAUCAGUGGCGGGCUCGCCGUAACUCCGAGCGUAGUAAAAUACAUCUCGCUUUGGAAGAGCAGCGGGUCCCGGCCGUUAAACCCCCUACUUUUAUAAAGGUUGACCUCGGAUCAGGUAGGAAUACCCGCUGAACUUAA